ACAUCUCCGCUGCUGUGCAACUGGCCCAGCCUAGCUCACUCAUUGUAAAGCCCGGAGGGUCCUUCAAACUGACCUGUGUCGUCUCUGGGCCUGAGGUCGGCGGGUGGUUCUGGGGAUGGAAUCGUCUAUCUCCAGGCAAAAAGCUGGAAUGGUUGGGGGGCAUCAAAAGCAUCGCACAAGGAGGAGAACCUUACUACAACACAGCAUUCAGCGGUCGAAUUACUAUUGCCAGGAGCAACUGGAACAAUGAGUUCUACUUCCAGUUGCGGGCCUUAGUCACUGAUGAUUCUGCCGUUUAUUACUGCACAAGAGAGCGAAAAGGAGACACA
Pogona vitticeps (central bearded dragon) is the source of this 329-nucleotide non-coding RNA. Lineage: Eukaryota; Metazoa; Chordata; Lepidosauria; Squamata; Agamidae. The record is from the annotation of a RefSeq genome assembly.